UGGCGGACGGGUGAGUAACGCGUGGGGUAACCUACCUCAUACAGGGGGAUAACAGUUGGAAACGACCGCUAAUACCGCAUAACCCGCUAGUAUCGCAUGAUACAGACGGAAAAGAUUUAUCGGUAUGAGAUGGACCCGCGUCUGAUUAGCCAGUUGGCAGGGUAACGGCCUACCAAAGCGACGAUCAGUAGCCGGCCUGAGAGGGUGAACGGCCACAUUGGGACUGAGACACGGACCAAACUCCUACGGGAGGCAGCAG
RNAcentral lists this ribosomal RNA (259 nucleotides) under uncultured bacterium. RNAcentral's name for it is "partial 16S ribosomal RNA". It matches the Rfam family "Bacterial small subunit ribosomal RNA", at positions 96 to 354 of the family's 1533-position model. The record is from RNAcentral.